This 501-nucleotide ribosomal RNA is filed under the name uncultured bacterium. Its description in RNAcentral is "partial 16S ribosomal RNA". It matches the Rfam family "Bacterial small subunit ribosomal RNA", at positions 30 to 523 of the family's 1533-position model. The record is from RNAcentral.
AUUGAACGCUGGCGGCAGGCUUAACACAUGCAAGUCGAGCGGAGCGAGGGUGCUUGCACCUUAGCUUAGCGGCGGACGGGUGAGUAAUGCUUAGGAAUCUGCCUAUUAGUGGGGGACAACAUUCCGAAAGGAAUGCUAAUACCGCAUACGCCCUACGGGGGAAAGCAGGGGAUCUUCGGACCUUGCGCUAAUAGAUGAGCCUAAGUCGGAUUAGCUAGUUGGUGGGGUAAAGGCCUACCAAGGCGACGAUCUGUAGCGGGUCUGAGAGGAUGAUCCGGCACGCUGGGACGGAGACACGGCGCAGGCUCCUACGGGAGGCAGCAGUGGGGAAUAUUGGACAAUGGGCGGAAGCCUGAUCUAGCCAUGCCGCGUGUGUGAAGAAGGCCUUUUGGUUGUAAAGCACUUUAAGCGAGGAGGAGGCUACUUAGAUUAAUACUCUGGGAUAGUGGACGUUACUCGCAGAAUAAGCACCGGCUAACUCUGUGCCAGCAGCCGCCGUAA